GAGCAAGCUACUAAGGGCGCGCGGUGGAUGCCUAGGUGGAAGCAGCCGAAGAAGGGCGUGGCAAGCUGCGAAAAGCUCCGGGGAGCCGCAAGCAGGCAGUGAUCCGGAGGUACCCGAAUGGGGCAACCCGAUCCCGGUGAUGCGGGAUCAUCCCGGGCCCAAUUGAUAAGCCUGGGAAGGUAAGCGGGGGAACUGAAACAUCUCAGUACCCCGAGGAGCGGAAAGCAAGCGCGACUCCCCGAGUAGCGGCGAGCGAAAAGGGACGAGCCCAAACCGUCGUCACGUGACAGCCCGCGGGCGUUGUGGCGGCGGGGUCGCGGGGGUAUGCUGGGCGGGGCUGCGGACCCGCCGGGGAGUAAGAAAACCCGUGCAUGAGCCGAAUGCGCCUGGAACGGCGAGCCACAGCGGGUGACAGCCCUGUAGGCGAACGGCGCGGGACUCCCUGAGCGUGCAACCCAAGUACCACGGGACACGAGAAAUCCUGUGGGAAUCCGGGAGGACCAUCUCCUAAGGCUAAGUACUGCUUCCGACCGAUAGCGGACUAGUACCGUGAGGGAAAGGUGAAAAGCACCCCGGGAGGGGAGUGAAAGAGAACCUGAAACCGCGUGCUUACAAGCGGUCGGAGUCCAGGCCCUGGAUUGCCGCAAGGCGGUGUGGGGCGGGAUGACGGCGUGCCUAUUGCAGAAUGAACCGGCGAGUUACUGUUGGCAGCGAGGUUAAGGCGAAGAGCCGGAGCCGCAGCGAAAGCGAGUCCGCAAGGGCGCCAUAGUUGCCGGCAGUAGACCCGAAACCAGGUGAGCUACCUAUGGGCAGGGUGAAGCCUCGAUAGUCUCGGGGUGGAGGCCCGCACCGGUGUCGGUUGAAGACGGCUCGGAUGACCUGUGGGUAGGGGUGAAAUGCCAAUCGAACCUGGAGAUAGCUGGUUCUCCCCGAAAUAGCUUUAGGGCUAGCCUUGGGUGAUGCGUGGCGGAGGUAGAGCACUGAAUGGGCUAGGGACGCUAACGCGUUACCGCACCCAAUCAAACUCCGAAUGCCGCCAUGUCAAACCCGGGAGUCAGACUGCGGGGGCUAAGCUUCGUAGUCGAGAGGAGAAGAGUCCAGACCGCCGGCUAAGGUCCCCAAAUCGAGCUCAGUGGGCAAGGAGGUGGGACUGCUCAAACAACCAGGAGGUUGGCUUAGAAGCAGCCAUCCUUUAAACAACGAGUAACAUCGGACUGGUCGAGUGGUUCUGCGCCGAGAAUCCAACGGGGCUAAGCUCGAUACCGAAGCCGCGGGGAGCGCCGCGAGCGAUGCUUGCGGGCUCCGGUAGGGGAGCGUUGCGCAGUAGGUUGAAGCUCCGGCGCGAGCCGGGGUGGACGAGGCGCAAGUGAGAAUGCCGGUAUGAGUAGCGAAAAUUCCGGUGAGAAUCCGGGACGCCGAAAACCUAAGGUUUCUUAGGGAAGGUUCGUCCUCCUAAGUUUAGCCGGUCCUAAGCCGAGGCGAGAUAGCGCAGGCGAUGGACAGCCGGUUGAUAUUCCGGCGCCACCGAUGGGCGGCAAAGACGCGAGGGGGUGACGCCGUGGAGUGAGCCAGCGCACGGAGGGAUGUGUGCGUUCAAGCCCGCAGGGAGGGCGCAGGGAAAUCCGCGCCAAUGACUCCCGAGGGGUGAUGAGGAGGAAAGGUUUCGUCCGGACUGAACUGGCGUGAUCCGCGGCCGGGAAAAACCUCUAGCGAGUUCAUCGGUGACCGUACCGCAAACCGACACAGGUAGGUGGGCAGAGGAUGCCAAGGCGCGCGAGAGAACCCUCGUUAAGGAACUCGGCAAAAUGACCCCGUAACUUUGGGAGAAGGGGUGCCUUCGGGCUUGAAGGGACGGUGCUUCGGCGCCGCUCCCGGAGGGCCUGGGGGUCGCAGUGAACAGGCCCAAGCGACUGUUUACCAAAAACACAGGUCUCUGCAAAGCCGAAAGGCGAUGUAUAGGGGCUGACGCCUGCCCAAUGCCGGGAUGUUAAGGGGAGGGGUUAGCCUGGCUUCGGCCGGGCGACGCUUCGAACCGAAGCACCGGUGAAUGGCGGCUGUAACUAUAACAGUCCUAAGGUAGCGAAAUUCCUUGUCGGGUAAGUUCCGACCCGCACGAACGGCGUAACGACUUGGGCGCUGUCUCAACGAGGGACUCGGCGAAAUUGUAGUAUCGGCGAAGAUGCCGGUUACCCACGACUGGACGGAAAGACCCCGUGGAGCUUUACUACAGCUUGGUAUUGGAGCGUGGGAUCUCCUGUAGAGGAUAGGUGGGAGCCUGUGAAAUCCCGACGCUAGUUGGGAUGGAGGCAACCUUGGAAUACCACCCUUGAGGUCUCGGGCUUCUAACCGCGGCCCCGGUGAGGGGCGGCGGGAGAGUAUCAGGCGGGUAGUUUGACUGGGGCGGUCGCCUCCCAAAAGGUAACGGAGGCGUCCAAAGGUUCCCUCAGUGCGGAUGGAAAUCGCACGCAGAGUAUAAGGGCAUAAGGGAGCUUGACUGCGAGACGGACCUGUCGAGCAGGGACGAAAGUCGGGCCUAGUGAUCCGGCAGUGGCGAAUGGAAGCGCUGUCGCUCAACGGAUAAAAGCUACCCCGGGGAUAACAGGCUUAUCUUCCCCAAGAGUUCACAUCGACGGGAGGGUUUGGCACCUCGAUGUCGGCUCGUCGCAUCCUGGGGCCGGAUAAGGUCCCAAGGGUUGGGCUGUUCGCCCAUUAAAGCGGCACGCGAGCUGGGUUCAGAACGUCGUGAGACAGUUCGGUCCCUAUCCGUCGUGGGCGUAAGAAGUUUGCGGGGAGCUGCCGCCAGUAUGAGAAGACCGCGGUGGACGGACCCCUGGUGUACCAGUUGUCCCGCCCGGGGCACACGCUGGGUAGCUAUGUCCGGCCGGGAUAAGCGCUGAAAGCAUCUAAGCGCGAAGCCCUCCCCAAGAUGAGACUUCUCACCCGUAAGGGGUAAGGCCGCAGGAAGAGUACCUGCUUGAUAGGCUGGGGGUGUACGGCGGGCAACCGCCUGAGCUGACCAGUACUAAUCGGCCGAGGGCUUGACCCC
Molecule: ribosomal RNA, 3046 nt
Filed under: Armatimonadota bacterium
Lineage: Bacteria; Bacillati; Armatimonadota
Description: Armatimonadetes bacterium 23S ribosomal RNA
Rfam family: Bacterial large subunit ribosomal RNA
Source: RNAcentral